Molecule: small RNA, 558 nt
Filed under: Pongo abelii (Sumatran orangutan)
Lineage: Eukaryota; Metazoa; Chordata; Mammalia; Primates; Hominidae
Description: processed transcript
Source: RNAcentral
CACUCAGCGCCGGAGCCGUGAGCUAGCGGCCGCCGCCAUGUCCCACCAGACCGGCAUCCAAGAUUGAUCCGAAAUUCGGGGGAGCGAAGGAAAUUGGCUUUCGAGGCGGCCUAGUUGAAGGGGGCGUGCCUUCCACCGUCCCUGACAGUAGCCCAACUUUCCCCCUUUUGGUCACGUAGGAAAGAGCAGGGACAGUGGAGGCGACUGGGGCUUCCCUACGCUGUCGAGAGCCAGCAAGUGAAGAUGUUAAAGAGAUCUUUGCCAGAGCCAGAAAUGGAAAGUACAGACUUCUGAAAAUAUCUAUUGAAAAUGUUUCUGCACCACAGUCCAUUUCUAAUGUCAGUGCUUCCAUCUCUGGAAUGGAAAUCACUAAACAGAGCAACUUGUGAUUGGAUCAUAUAGUCAGCCUUCAGAUUCCUGGGAUAAGGAUUAUGAUUCCUUUGUUUUACCCCUGUUGGAGGACAAACAACCGUGCUAUAUAUUAUUCAGGUUAGAUUCUCAGAAUGCCCAGGGAUAUGAAUGGAUAUUCAUUGCAUGGUCUCCAGAUCAUUCUCAUGU